Molecule: long non-coding RNA, 612 nt
Organism: Sebastes umbrosus (honeycomb rockfish)
Lineage: Eukaryota; Metazoa; Chordata; Actinopteri; Perciformes; Sebastidae
Exons: 3
Source: RefSeq, a predicted model, not a curated record
GGUCCCUAAUGUGAGUGCAGAGCCUCGUUCAGCUAAAACUAUUUUGAAUUUGAGGCACACAGUGGAACCACAGAGGCUGAGUGGACUGGUUAUAUUAUGCUUUGAGAAUAAACAAGCAGAGUUGUUGAACCUGGAGCAAAUUGAGGAGGACUUCACAGUGCACAAGACUCAGAAUGACGUCCAGACUGGCAUGACAGAGGAAAGAGAAAAAAAACUAAUUUCUCAACGCAGUGGCAGUCGAGUGAAACAAGCUGCUUACUGAAUGAAAACUCCAGCAAGUAUUCAGACUGCAGCUGGAACCUGAGGAGCCCUGUGAAAAUUGUCUCUUGAGCGAAAAACAGCAUAAACCUGGAGUAUUCUUCUGGUCCUGGGAUGGAGGAAACAAACUGGCAGCGGAAAGACUGGAAGACACAGAAAGAAAGAGGAUCGGAGCUGCAUCUUGAAAAUGUGUCAAAGUGACCGUGGUAAAUUGUGUGAGCUGUAAAAAUAAAACCUGUUAAACUGUUCAAGUUGUCCUGUGUGUGUUGUGUGUCGAGUGAACCCACGGGGUGUAGCCCAGAAGCCUACAAUAGUAUGUAAAAAAAAAAAAGUCAAAGUAUAAUAUGUCGAAAA